Molecule: transfer RNA, 72 nt
Filed under: Ictidomys tridecemlineatus (thirteen-lined ground squirrel)
Lineage: Eukaryota; Metazoa; Chordata; Mammalia; Rodentia; Sciuridae
Description: Spermophilus tridecemlineatus (thirteen-lined ground squirrel) tRNA
Rfam family: tRNA
About the family: Transfer RNA (tRNA) molecules are approximately 80 nucleotides in length.
Source: Rfam by way of RNAcentral
CGGGUUGUGGCUCAGUGGUAGAGCGCCUGCCUAGCAUGCAUGAGGUACUGGGUACAAUCCCCGACACCACAU